CAGCCGCCACGGGAAUACGAAGGGGGCUAGCGUUGUUCGGAAUUACUGGGCGUAAAGGGCGCGUAGGCGGCCAUUCAAGUUAGAUGUGAAAGCCCUGGGCUCAACCUAGGAAUUGCAUUUGAUACUGUUUGGCUUGAGUUCGGGAGGGGUGAGUGGAAUUCCCAGUGUAGAGGUGAAAUUCGUAGAUAUUCGGAAGAACACCAGUGGCGAAGGCGACUGACUGGACAAGUAUUGACGCUGAGGUGCGAAAGCGUGGGGAGCAAACAGGAUUAGAUACCCCCGUAGUCCCUGUCUCUUAUAC
Molecule: ribosomal RNA, 301 nt
Filed under: uncultured bacterium
Lineage: Bacteria
Description: partial 16S ribosomal RNA
Rfam family: Bacterial small subunit ribosomal RNA
Source: RNAcentral